UACCUGGCUUUAUUUUAUUUUACUAUUCAUUUUUAAUGUGUAUGCCUGUUUUGCCCACAUGUAUGUAUGUGCAUCACGUGUGCCUGGUGACCUCAAAGAUCAGAAGAGGGCUUCCGCAUCUGCUGGGACUGGAGUUACAGCCAAUUGCAAGCAGCCAUGUGGAUGUCGAGAAUUGAACCUGAGCCCUCUGGAACGGCAGCCAUUGCUCUUAACUGCUAAGUCGACUUUGCAUCACCUUCCCCCCUUUAAAUGUGGGCUCCAGGCAUUGACCUCAGGUCCUCAUGUUUGCAGAAUACGCACUCCACAGAUUGAUCUUAACCCAGCCCCAAGAAGUGUGUUUCUAAUGUCCAGUUCUGGAAGACACUCAGCCUGUGUUCGACCUCUGCAACACCACAGAAGCAACUACAGACACCAGGGGAGAACUGGGAAAGAUCUAACUAGUGACUUCUAGACACCUGGCCUUGUGGAAGCCCCAUGGUAAAGACGGACCUGCUGGCCAACACCUUGCUUGUCUACUGCAGCUCAGGGUGUGAGAGGUGGCUAAAUGCGUACCAGUGAGUGAAGGAAUUAAAAGGAUCUUGAUUUUCAAAGUCUCUUCCUGAACCAGAGCCAGAAGCCAGACAGAAAACAUUGGCCUGCUUUAAUCCAUGGAAAAUUCCAGAUGUUUGUAGCUUAUCAGCUGACAAGUUGGCAGCCAGGAAGAUGUUGAUUUCAGUGAAUCAAGAGACCUUAUUAGUUCCAUGUUCUGUGGAACUAAGAGCUGCCCCAUAGGGCAUGUUGUAUAAGAGGCCAUAUAUAGUAUGUGACCUUAAAAACACCUUUAAAAACUCUUUCAAUUA
Molecule: long non-coding RNA, 839 nt
Organism: Mesocricetus auratus (golden hamster)
Lineage: Eukaryota; Metazoa; Chordata; Mammalia; Rodentia; Cricetidae
Exons: 3
Source: RefSeq, a predicted model, not a curated record